GAUGAACGCUGGCGGCGUGCCUAAUACAUGCAAGUCGAGCGAACGGACGAGAAUCUUGCUUUUCUGGUGUUAGCGACGGACGGGUAAGUAACACGUGGAUAACCUACCUAUAAGACUUGGAUAACUUCGGCAAACCGGAGCUCAUACCGGAUAAUAUUUUGAACCGCAUGGUUCAAAAGUGAAAGACGGUCUUGCUGUCACUUAUAGAUGGAUCCGCGCUGCAUUAGCUAGUUGGUAAGGUAACGGCUUACCAAGUCAACGAUGCAUAGCCGAGCUGAGAAGGUGAAGGGCCACAGUGGAACUGAGACACGGUCUAGACUCCUACGGGAGGCAGAAGUAGGGAAGCUUGCGCACUGGGGGAAAGACUGAAGGAGCGGCGCCGCGUGAGUGCUGCAGGUCUUCGGACCGUAAAACUCUGUUAUUAGGGAAGACCGCAUGCGUAAAUAACUGAGCUUAGUGUGACGGUAGUGAAUCAGAAAGCAACGGCUAACUACGUG
RNAcentral lists this ribosomal RNA (497 nucleotides) under uncultured bacterium. RNAcentral describes it as "partial 16S ribosomal RNA". It matches the Rfam family "Bacterial small subunit ribosomal RNA", at positions 28 to 507 of the family's 1533-position model. The record is from RNAcentral.